CCUACGGGAGGCAGCAGUAAGGAAUAUUGGUCAAUGGACGAAAGUCUGAACCAGCCAUGCCGCGUGAAGGAUGACGGCCCUCUGGGUUGUAAACUUCUUUUAUAGGGGACGAAAAAAGGGUAUUCUUACUCACUUGACGGUACCCUAGGAAUAAGCACCGGCUAACUCCGUGCCAGCAGCCGCGGUAAUACGGAGGGUGCAAGCGUUAUCCGGAUUCACUGGGUUUAAAGGGUGCGUAGGUGGGUCUAUAAGUCAGUGGUGAAAUCUCCGAGCUUAACUCGGAAACUGCCAUUGAUACUAUAGGCCUUGAAUUAUCUGGAGGUAAGCGGAAUAUGUCAUGUAGCGGUGAAAUGCUUAGAUAUGACAUAGAACACCAAUUGCGAAGGCAGCUUACUACGGAUAUAUUGACACUGAGGCACGAAAGCGUGGGGAUCAAACAGGAUUAGAUACCCUGGUAGUCCACGACCUAACCUACUAGAUACUACGACACUACAGCGAUACACUGUUGGUUGUCUGAGCGAAGACGAUAAGUAUCCACCGUCGGAGGACGACCGCGAGUAGUUAACGUUACUAAUUAGAGUUAGACGGCGUUGAGACGUUGCCGACGGACGACGACGAGGGAGGAGGG
Molecule: ribosomal RNA, 628 nt
Filed under: uncultured bacterium
Lineage: Bacteria
Description: bacterial SSU rRNA
Rfam family: Bacterial small subunit ribosomal RNA (bases 1-539)
Source: RNAcentral